CUACGGGGGGCUGCAGUGGGGAAUCUUAGACAAUGGGGGAAACCCUGAUCUAGCCAUGCCGCGUGAGUGAUGAAGGCCCUAGGGUCGUAAAGCUCUUUCGCCAGGGAUGAUAAUGACAGUACCUGGUAAAGAAACCCCGGCUAACUCCGUGCUAGCAGCCGCGGUAAUACGGAGGGGGUUAGCGUUGUUCGGAAUUACUGGGCGUAAAGCGCGCGUAGGCGGAUUAGAAAGUUGGGGGUGAAAUCCCGGGGCUCAACCCCGGAACUGCCUCCAAAACUACUAGUCUAGAGUUCGAGAGAGGUGAGUGGAAUUCCGAGUGUAGAGGUGAAAUUCGUAGAUAUUCGGAGGAACACCAGUGGCGAAGGCGGCUCACUGGCUCGAUACUGACGCUGAGGUGCGAAAGUGUGGGGAGCAAACAGGAUUAGAUACCCCGGUAGUC
This 439-nucleotide ribosomal RNA is filed under the name uncultured bacterium. RNAcentral's name for it is "partial 16S ribosomal RNA". It matches the Rfam family "Bacterial small subunit ribosomal RNA", at positions 339 to 795 of the family's 1533-position model. The record is from RNAcentral.